UACGUAGGGGGCAAGCGUUGUUCGGAAUGACUGGGCGUAAAGGGUGCGUAGGCGGUGUAGCAAGUUAGAAGUGAAAUACCUAGAGCUUAACUCAGGUGCUGCUUCUAAAACUGCUAUACUUGAGUGCAGUAGAGGAAAGUGGAAUUCCUAGUGUAGCGGUGGAUGCGUAGAUAUUAGGAGGAACAUCAGUGGCGAAGGCGACUUUCUGGACUGUAACUGACGCUGAGGCACGAAAGUGUGGGGAGCAAACAGG
Molecule: ribosomal RNA, 253 nt
Filed under: uncultured bacterium
Lineage: Bacteria
Description: partial 16S ribosomal RNA
Rfam family: Bacterial small subunit ribosomal RNA
Source: RNAcentral